CAUGUAGGCGGUUAGGUAAGUCUGAUGUGGAAUCCCGGGGCUCAACCCCGGACGUGCAUUGGAUACUGCUAGACUAGAGUACAGGAGGGGUGAGCGGAAUUCCAGGUGUAGAGGUGAAAUUCGUAGAUAUCUGGAGGAACAACGGAGGCGAAGGCGGCUCACUGGACUGUAACUGACGCUGAGAUGCGAAAGUGUGGGGAGCGAACG
Molecule: ribosomal RNA, 207 nt
Filed under: uncultured bacterium
Lineage: Bacteria
Description: partial 16S ribosomal RNA
Rfam family: Bacterial small subunit ribosomal RNA
Source: RNAcentral